UACAGAGGGUGCGAACGUUGCUCGGAAUUACUGGGCGUAAAGCGUGCGCAGGCGGUUUCGUAAGUCUGUCGUGAAAUCCCCGGGCUUAACCUGGGAAUGGCGAUGGAGACUGCGAGGCUAGAGUUUGGCAGAGGGGGGUAGAAUUCCACGUGUAGCAGUGAAAUGCGUAGAUAUCGGGAGGAACACCUGUGGCGAAGGCGGCCCCCUGGUCGGAUACUGACGCUGAGACGCGAAAGCGUGGGGAGCAAACAGG
Molecule: ribosomal RNA, 253 nt
Filed under: uncultured bacterium
Lineage: Bacteria
Description: partial 16S ribosomal RNA
Rfam family: Bacterial small subunit ribosomal RNA
Source: RNAcentral